This 510-nucleotide ribosomal RNA is filed under the name Triticum aestivum (bread wheat). RNAcentral describes it as "partial small subunit ribosomal RNA". The record is from RNAcentral. Lineage: Eukaryota; Viridiplantae; Streptophyta; Magnoliopsida; Poales; Poaceae.
AUGCAGGGGGAGGUGGAGCAGCAGGCGCCGAUGCAGAUGGUGCUGCGGGUGAAGCACCCGUCGUCGCUGUCCAGCGGCAGCGAGGAGGCGUCGGAGGGGGAGGGGUCGUCCAGGUCGGCGCUCUCGGUGUUCAAGGCCAAGGAGGAGCAGAUCGAGAGGAAGAAGAUGGAGGUCAGGGACAAGGUCUUCGCGCAGCUCGGCCGCGUCGAGGAGGAGUCCAAGCGCCUAGCAUUCAUACGACAGGAGCUGGAAGGGAUGGCCGAUCCUACGAGGAAGGAGGUGGAAUCAAUACAGCGGCGGAUCGACACCGUCAACCGCCAGCUCAAGCCUCUCAGCAAGAGCUGCGUCAAGAAGGAGAAAGAAUACAAAGAGAUUCUCGAGGCGUACAACGAGAAGAGCAAGGAGAAGGCCAUACUUGUCAACAGGCUAAUAGAGCUGGUGAGCGAAAGCGAGAGGAUGAGGAUGAAGAAGCUUGAAGAGCUCAACAAGACAGUUGAUUCACUCUAUUAG